UUGGCCGUAGCUUAAAGGUAGAGCGCUGCGCUGUGAACGCAGUCCGUGCGGGUUCGACUCCCGCCGGCCGAC
RNAcentral lists this transfer RNA (72 nucleotides) under Acidobacteriota bacterium. RNAcentral's name for it is "tRNA-His". It matches the Rfam family "tRNA". From Rfam's summary of the family: Transfer RNA (tRNA) molecules are approximately 80 nucleotides in length. Their secondary structure includes four short double-helical elements and three loops (D, anti-codon, and T loops). Lineage: Bacteria; Pseudomonadati; Acidobacteriota. The record is from RNAcentral.